UAUAGCUUUGUAAUCACUUCUUAUGCUGAAGAUCUGGUGGUAGUUAAAACUACUUGAGUUAAACAGAGCACUUCCUUUAGUUAAAAAACCAGCCGACACACCGCUACGUGACCGCUUCAUGUAUUUUGAUAACUCAUGCUGACAGGUGUCAUCUCUGCAGGCUAUCUCUAGCCUUUAAUCAUCAGGAAGCAGAGACUGGAGGGGGUCUUAAUUAAUCUGAAUUUUAGCCAGGGUGGUGGGUGGUUCUCCUCCGCUGUUCAAAAUAUCCUCAACACACAUGGUGCACCUUGGGUUGUGUACAAAAACAUGAGCCUCUGAGAGAGACUGUAGAAUUUCACAGAGGAUGGGGAGAAUGUACCAAUGAGUUGGCUUUAAUGGGUCCAGCUAAAGCCUGCACUUCGCAUGGUCAACAAACAGUGGUCACACUAACAGGUGAACCUACUGUCCCCUUCUGCUUACUGAUCCGGAAGGCCUGGCUGGAGGAAAACAUGGUUCGUGAGCAGGAUUUCACAGCUCUGUACGAGGCCACAGAAAAUGCUGGGCUCACAGUGCACUUUCUAGCUGCUGAACCAUAGCCCUCACUGUGACAGGACCUGUGGUAGAGGCUAAAACAGAAAUCAUCACUGCGUAGGAGUGGUUCAGGGCAUCAGUUCUGGUGGAUAGACAGCCUCUCGUCUCCCACUCAUAUAAAUCUUCUCUGUGUACAGUAAAUGUGACUGAGAAUGAGAGCUUAUUCCAUACUGUUUUGCAUCUCAGGUUUUCUUUUCCUGAGAAAAAUACAGUUACUGGAAAAUGUAAAGCCCAUACAAUGCUUAAGAAUCAAAAUAAUACCUUUAAUAUGAACAGAUUGUGAUGGUCUGUACGUGCUUCACACGCUGGCAUGGGGAUAGGGGCUAAAAUACAGCUUUGUUAGACUUGGGGUCUAAAGAGCAGAGAGGCCAAAACUGAAGAAAAGCAGAUACUUGUACUCCUCUUUAGAACAAAAGAAAAAACACUGAAGGACUGAAGGACAAUCAUUAAGGUUGGUUAGUUACUUUAACUCACUUAGAGUGCACUUUAAAGACAAUUUGUAUAUGAUAUCACUCUGCCAGCUGAAGCAAAAGGUUUUCUUUUCCUUUCCUCCCUUUUCACAAAAGGCAUUGCCAAGAGGGAAUGGCAGGAGUCAGGAGCCUGUUUACUUAUGCCACGUCCCUUUUUCAUUAUCCCUUGUCUGUUUUCUGCAUGGUGAACACUACCUACAACUUUUAAUACCCAAUUUAAAUUGGUUUCAAAUAAGUGGCAGAGGAAUGCAUAAGCAGAGAUUUCUGUCUCAUGUCAGGGGAACAGCACAGAGAGCAUCUUGGCCAUCUUUUCUUUUAAGCCUGUACAGUCUGCUGCUCAUAUGCUACCUCCAUUGAUCAGCACCUUUGAAAAAUGAGUCCAUUACUGUCUAUACAAAAUGGUUCUAUGAACCAUUUUUAAAAAAGCAAUAUAUCUACAAAAUUAACCCCUGGACAGCUUUCAAGGUUUUCACCCUCUCACAAUAACACGGUCACACUGAGAAUAGGCAUCUUGAUGUUUAAUUACCACAGACAACAGGGAGGUCUGCAGUACCUAUGCUAUCAAAAAGAUAACAGUGAUGGUAUCUUAUCUGCCAGGACUGAAUGUCGCUAUGACACACAUGAAAUGCUGCCAUACCCUCUGCUGUAUGUACCCUGCAGUAGAGGGGCCACAGUAUUGCAGUGCUCCUCUUUCCCUCCCAGCAGCUCCAUCCCAGGAAAAAUUAAUAGGAUAACAGUUCUUCUGGGGCAAGAUAGUUACCUACUAAAUCAACACUACUUCCUAAUGAACAGCUCUUGAGUUGGGCCUAGCUCUGCUUAAUUUAAAGUAGUUGUGUUGACAUAAUAUAUUUAGACUUCUGUAAUGUGUUUGACUUAGUACUGCACAACAUUCUGAUUAAAAACAAUUAUCGCUAUACAAAAUCGGCGUUGCACAUAUUAAACGGCUCCCAAAGUGUCUCACUGGCAGCAUGCAGAAGGCAGCUCUAAGUCGGGAAGCAGCGCUCAGGGCAAGCUGCCAGUUCCUCUGGGGUCUCCGUGCAGACAAUCCAGCAAAGAAUGGUGGGUAUCAAUGGCACAAAAGUCCGAUUUCAGUAGCAGCUUGGGGUCAUGAGGUGGAUGGAGGCCAUCCUGCUGUCAGGAAAAUUUCGGCUCCAAUAAGCUUGCUCAAUCAUAUUUAUCCCAAAGAGACAGAGGAGAGUCUCCACCUUUCUUCAUUCGAGUAAAGGGAGAGUCCACUGAGGCACACCCCUGUGGGGGGUCUCCAAGUACUGGGGGACACAGCCCCUCUUUUAUCCCUGUACCCCGAUGCUGGUGAGCCCUUUCUCCAUAGGCUGAGCUACUCGGGGUUCACAUUCUUAUCCAUUCACCUAUCAGCCAUCCACCCCCAGUAAGUACCCCGUUUGUUUCCUUUGUCUACACACACUUUGUCAUCUGGAUUCAGAGCUUGUUGCUUUGCCCAACUAGAACUAUCUUUGCAUCCUGUAAAAUCCAUCACUCUUUGUUCCAUCCAGCAAACACGAUUUACACGCAGGUGCUAAGCUAGCAUCUCCUGUCAUGUAUCUGCAAAAUAAGUUUGUUUAACCAGAUCCUUGUGAUCAAAACUCUUCUUCCCAGCUUCAUCUUGUUUUGCAGGGACCCCCUAUCCUUCCAUUGCUCUUCCUGAAUGCCAGCUUCUUUUGCAGGGACACCUUAUCCUUGUUUCUCCUUCACUGCUUUCCACAUUACAAAGCUUAUAAGCUCAUAACCUAGGCCACGCUUCCCAAAUAAGUGCUGCGUAAUAGAGGUGGCAGUCUCUGUUGCGAUCUGCGCCUUUGUUUGUGCUCCUGUGUGGGGCAUCCAGAAGGUUCUGGAAGGUUCCAGGCAGCUCCAGCUGUCGCAAUCAGCCCCAGCUGGUUCUGCAGCCCCGCUUCAUGGCACAGCUGGUCACUUAGCGCGGUGCCUCGGAGGGGGAGAAUUUAAGAGAGCAAAAAAAAAAAAAAAAAAAAAAAAAAACGCUAGCUGGCGGUGAGGAACGAGGGGAAAGAAGUGUGAGAAGCAGUGAGAACUGCGGGCGCGAGGAGGUGCUGCAAACUGUGGAGAGCCUGCACGUGGAAAGCGCGAGGCGGGGAGAGCAGCAGAAAGGGAGCGGUGGGUGCAGCCCCUCACCCCAUCGCUCCGCACUGCUCGGGGGAGAAGAGGUCGCCGGAACAAAUAAUUGACCUGCGUUGACUUGCAGCCAAAUCACAGCAAUUAGCAACUGAAAGCAGAGGAGAGCCGGUGGCAGACAACUGGAGCCGGCAGUUCAGGUCAGACUUCGGGUGCUAAAAUGUCCCAGAGUGACUCAGCGUGGGGGUUUGUUAUUUCCUCAGUUAUCUGAAGAAGAGAAGCCAUCUGCAACAUUAAGAGUGGCCUGUUCAUACCCAUUCACUGCAGCAUCACUUGGCCUUUCCAGCUAUUUGUCUCCAUAGGAUGAAGGUUUCUUGCACAGAAGCAUCAAUGUCAAUGCAAGAUGAACUCCAGUCCCCCUCAGAUGUUGCAGUUUGACAAAUCAUAGAAUCACAGAAUCACCAAGGUUGGAAAAGACCUACAAGAUCAUCCAGUCCAACCAUCCACCUGCACCAAUAGAGCCUCACUCUGUGUCCCUCAACACAACAUCUGAACGUUCCUUGAACACCUCCAAGCAUUGCACACCUGGGCCUUGAAUUAUUCCCUUUGGCUGAGUUGAAAGAAGGAGCAUGAGAGAGCAGGUCCUUGAUUUUUCUGAGG
Molecule: long non-coding RNA, 3785 nt
Organism: Numida meleagris (helmeted guineafowl)
Lineage: Eukaryota; Metazoa; Chordata; Aves; Galliformes; Numididae
Exons: 5
Source: RefSeq, a predicted model, not a curated record